AGUGGUGGACGGGUGAGUAACGCGUGAGAAUCUGCCUUGGGGUCGGGGACAACCACUGGAAACGGUGGCUAAUACCGGAUAAGCCGAUUGGUGAAAGAUUUAUUGCCCGAAGAGGAGCUCGCGUCUGAUUAGCUAGUUGGUGAGGUAAGAGCUCACCAAGGCAGCGAUCAGUAGCUGGUCUGAGAGGACGAUCAGCCACACUGGGACUGAGACACGGCCCAGACUCCUACGGGAGGCAGCAGUGGGGAAUUUUCCGCAAUGGGCGAAAGCCUGACGGAGCAAGACCGCGUGAGGGAGGAAGGCUCUUGGGUUGUAAACCUCUUUUCUCAGGGAAGAAGCUCUGACGGUACCUGAGGAAUCAGCCUCGGCUAACUCCGUGCCAGCAGCCGCGGUAAUACGGAGGAGGCAAGCGUUAUCCUGAAUUAUUGGGCGUAAAGCGUCCGCAGGUGGCGAUUCAAGUCUGCUGUCAAAGCACGGGGCUUAACUCCGUAAAGGCAGUGGAAACUGAAUAGCUAGAGUGCCGUAGGGGUAGAGGGAAUUCCCGGUGUAGCGGUGAAAUGCGUAGAGAUCGGGAAGAACAUCGGUGGCGAAAGCGCUCUACUGGACGGCAACUGACACUCAGGGACGAAAGCUAGGGGAGCGAAUGGGAUUAGAUACCCC
This 660-nucleotide ribosomal RNA is filed under the name uncultured bacterium. RNAcentral's name for it is "bacterial SSU rRNA". It matches the Rfam family "Bacterial small subunit ribosomal RNA", at positions 94 to 788 of the family's 1533-position model. The record is from RNAcentral.